AUCGCUAUGGCUGCGUUUGAAUCCAAACACACAUCCCACUGUUGUUUAUAAUCUUAUUGUUACAGUAUUCAAUCUCAUUGCUACGUAUCUUGCUUCGGAGGAACACGUAUUCAUUCCAUCAAUACAUUCUCAUACCCGUCAUAGCAACCGAGAACAAGGAAACUCGUCUUGAGUUUAACGUAUUAAGUAAUUCUUCAGCCACAAAGUUGACUUUGUUCCCAUAUAUUAUGGUCGAACAUAUCCGCAUCAAGACUACAACUUUCAAAAUGAUUUAACAGUGUUAAAAUACAAAAUAAUAGCGGUUAGUAUUGUUAGGAGUCAGUUCAGCAGUUAGUUUGUUAUUCUCAUCAAUCUAUUAAUCUGUUAGCAACAGUUAUGAACAAUAGCUAAACUCAUGUAAUCUAUAAAUAUUUUAAUGGUAGAGGAAGGAACAAAUACCUAUUUUCUUGAUCAAUACAAUCAUACUUUGUUCAUUGAAAGAUUUUAACAUGGUAUCAGUCGCCUUGGUCCUGGAGCUCUGAUUUUUUUUCUUGUAUUUCUGUUUCUUUCUUCAUUUUCAUGACUACUUCUACUGAUUCUGUUUCAGUCAAGCCUGGUUGCUUGACGUUUACUGGUGAUCAAAUCAUCCAUUCGUUUCCUCGUCAUGACACAAUUAAACUAGACAAUAGUAGUUUCAUUCAGUGGCAGCAACACACCCGAUUGAUUGUUGAAUGUUACGAAUUAACAGGUUUUUUGGAUGGGACCUUACCUUCUCCGCCACGGUUUGUGCAAUCGACUGAUGGAUCUCUUGUUUCUAAUCCACAUGCGUCGGCAUACACUCAAUAAGAUCGUCUGCUUGCUUCCUGGUUGCUCUCUACCAUACAUCCCUCCUUGUUGUCCUCUUUCACUGGUGCCCGAACAGCGUGUGAUGUGUGGACUACGGCCACUCAUUUGUUUGCGAUGGUCACAAGUGUGAAAGUGUCCAAAAUCCGUCAUAAGUUGCACUCUCUUAAGAAAUGUAAUCUUUCGAUUACAAAGUAUGUUGCACGAAUCCAAAAUACUUGUGCCCUGCUUGAUGCCUCAGGCUCUCAGGUCUCAGAGGCAAAAAAAUUUGAAGUUAUUUUGGCAAGUCUUCCACCGGAAUUUGAUGCAAUGAUUACGUUGGAGUCAUUUUCGGCUGAACCGUUACCUUUUCAACACCUUUUGGAUGUGUUUCUUGAGUAUGAAAAUUGACAGCUGCGAGUGAUUCAAGAGGUACCGAUUCAAGCUAAUAUUACGAAAUCUGUGCCGUCGCCGGUGAUGAUAGAGCCGGCUCGUGGUGGUCGAUUCCAUAAUGGGCGUGGUAGAGGGUUUCGCUCUCGAAUCUAGUGCCAAAUCUGCAGUCGAUUUGGACAUUUAGCUCAACGCUGUUUUUAUCGCUAUAAUCGCGAUUUCGAAGGUCCAACGUCCAUGGCUAGGUUGCGUGCGCCUGGUGGUGUUUCUGGUUGCUCAACAGCGUCCAACGAAUUUGCGUCUGACGAGUUCAGUGUGACGCCUUAUUUGUGUUGCUGGUCUGCUAGGGUUUCCAAUCCAUUUCUUAGUGUUAGUGAUGGUUUUGGGUGCCUGGAUGGAUUUGGUAUACAUGUUUGGGCCUAGGCAUGUGCUUCCUUCAUUUGCGCUUAGGCCAGACUCGUCAUUUGGGCUGCAUGUUGCGGCUACUGGCAAAUCGAAUGAGCAUGGGUCGUAUGUUGCUGAUUUUGGGCCUGUUGCUGGUACUAGUCAG
Molecule: long non-coding RNA, 1741 nt
Filed under: Gossypium barbadense (sea-island cotton)
Lineage: Eukaryota; Viridiplantae; Streptophyta; Magnoliopsida; Malvales; Malvaceae
Description: long non-coding RNA (GBAR_LNC020536)
Source: RNAcentral